This 1446-nucleotide ribosomal RNA is filed under the name human gut metagenome. RNAcentral describes it as "bacterial LSU rRNA". It matches the Rfam family "Bacterial large subunit ribosomal RNA", at positions 524 to 1973 of the family's 2925-position model. The record is from RNAcentral.
CCCCGGGAGGGGAGUGAAAUAGAACCUGAAACCGCAUGCAUACAAACAGUAGGAGCCUCAUCAGAGGUGACUGCGUACCUUUUGCAUAAUGGGUCAGCGACUUACAUUCUGUGGCGAGCUUAACCGAAUAGGGGAGGCGCAGCGAAAGCGAGUUCGAAAUGAGCGUCCAGUCGCAGGGUGUAGACCCGAAACCAGAUGAGCUAUCCAUGGCCAGGUUGAAGGUGUGGUAACACACACUGGAGGACCGAACCGACUAGUGUUGCAAAAUUAGCGGAUGAGCUGUGGAUAGGGGUGAAAGGCCAAACAAAUCUGGAGAUAGCUGGUUCUCCCCGAAAACUAUUGAGGUAGUGCCUCGUGUGUCGCUCCAGGGGGUAGAGCACUGUUUUGGCUAGGGGGACAUGGAGUCUUACCAAACCAAGGCAAACUCCGAAUACCUGGAAGCGUGAGCACGGGAGACAGAGCACCGGGUGCUAACGUCCGGACUCAAAAGGGAAACAACCCAGACCGCCGGCUAAGGUCCCAAAUAACAGCUAAGUGGAAAACGAAGUGGAAAGGCCGUGACAACCAGGAAGUUGGCUUAGAAGCAGCCAUCCUUCAAAGAAAGCGUAAUAGCUCACUGGUCGAGUCCUUCUGCGCGGAAGAUGUAACGGGGCUAAGCUGUUAACCGAAGCCGCGGAUGCGCUGGUUAUCCAGUGCGUGGUAGGGGAGCGUUCUGUAAGUCUGCGAAGGCGGUUCGAGAGGACUGCUGGAGAUAUCAGAAGUGCGAAUGCUGACAUGAGUAACGUUAAAGCAGGUGAAAAGCCUGCUCGCCGUAAGCCCAAGGAUUCCUGCUCUACGUUCAUCGGAGCAGGGUGAGUCGGCUCCUAAGGUCAGGCCGAAAGGCGUAGCCGAUGGGAAUCAGGUUAAUAUUCCUGAACCUGCGUCAGAUGCGAUGGGGGGACGGAGCAUGGAAGAUCAUCCGGGUGUUGGAAGUCCCGGUUGUUGAGCGUAGGAGGUCUGCAGGCAAAUCCGCAGACGCAUCUCCAAGGCAAAGACACGUGCCGCCACGGCGGCGAAGUGAUCGGAAGUGCUUCCAAGAAAAGCCUCUAAGCACCAGUCUGAUGCGGACCGUACCGCAAACCGACACUGGUGGGCGAGCUGAAUAUGCUCAGGCGCUUGAGAGAACUCGGGAGAAGGAACUCGGCAAAUUGACCCCGUAACUUCGGAAGAAGGUGUGCCGUAGUACCGUGAGAGGAGAGACACCUUGAGCGGGAAACGGUCUCAGAGAAUAGGUGGCUGCGACUGUUUAUUAAAAACACAGCACUCUGCAAAGUCGAAAGACGACGUAUAGGGUGUGAUGCCUGCCCGGUGCUGGAAGAUUAAUUGAUGGGGUGAGAGCCCUUGAUCGAAGUCCCAGUAAACGGCGGCCGUAACUAUAACGGUCCUAAGGUAGCGAAAUUCCUUGUC